UACGGGGGGGGCAAGCGUUGUUCGGAAUUACUGGGCGUAAAGGGCUCGUAGGCGGCCAGCUAAGUCAGACGUGAAAUCCCUCGGCUUAACCGGGGAACUGCGUCUGAUACUGGAUGGCUGGAGUUUGGGAGAGGGAUGCGGAAUUCCAGGUGUAGCGGUGAAAUGCGUAGAUAUCUGGAGGAACACCGGUGGCGAAGGCGGCAUCCUGGACCGGCAUUGACGCUGAGGCGCGAAAGCCAGGGGAGCAAACGGG
Molecule: ribosomal RNA, 253 nt
Filed under: uncultured bacterium
Lineage: Bacteria
Description: partial 16S ribosomal RNA
Rfam family: Bacterial small subunit ribosomal RNA
Source: RNAcentral